CCGCCAGGCUCCUCAGUCCAUGGGAUUCCCCAGGCAAGAAUACUGGAGUGAGUCGCCAUGCCCCCCUCCAGGGGAUCUUCCCAACCUAUGACUGAACCUGCAUCUCUUGUGUCUCCUGCAUUGCAGGCGAGUUCUUUCCCAUGUAUUCCAGUCAUCAGCAUGUACCGUGAACACUUCCUCCCUGGCUUCUGCUCCCACCUCCUUCCAGCACAUUCCUCCCCAACAGUGUGUCACUGAGGAGGGAGGUGUGGUGGAUCAGUAUCUUCACUGGGGCUUCAGUGCACCCUCCGGCCCAGAGGCUAGUGCCUGGGUCCUGCCCGCUGGGCACCGCUGCAGUUUCUCAAAUGCCUUUCGACACUUACUGCAGGAUGACCUUUGAGCACUGGUGCAAACGCUCAGUCUAUUUUUUCCCAGCCUUGGGGACUGGCCUGCUGUCUCAGUUUCAGCUUCCCAUGUAUUUACUGCCUGCAGAAGGUUGGCGUUCAGCCACCCACUCCUGGAUCUCACAGUGGUCAUCAGUCGUCCCUUAUUCCAGAGCAGUAGUUCUUGACAGUGGAAAUACUGAAAAGCACAGAACGGUGCUUCUAGAAUGUCAACUCUGUGAGGACAGGCACACUCUGCUUUUGCUCAGCUUUGGAUUAUCUGGAUCCACAAUUCCAAGAAUGGUGCCUGGCACACAGGAAAUGCUCAUCAGGAAGUGCAUUCUGAACGAAUAGGUGUGAAAUGUGAGCGCCUAGAGGAAACAGCCAGGACGUGAGUAUAGCACUUGUCUUUGGGUGGUAGGACUGUUCUGGUUUUUCUGUAAGGUUGUACAGAGAAACCCGAAGGAACUUUUUGGCCAACCCAAUAUAAUAUAUGAUAAGCAGACAAGGGGCCUGUUUACUUGCAGUCAUGUGACCUUGGGUAAGUUGCUUCUCCUUUCUGUGCCUAAGCUUCCCCAUCAACAUGAAUACCUCCCUUGGCUGUUAGGAAGGUUAAAUGAGAUCAUGCCUGUAGAUAGGGAACCUCUGGUGCUGGGGACACAGGAAGCACUCGAUCAACAUCACACCGUCACUUUGUUGUUGUCAUCGUUUGGUCCUGAUCGUGAUCGGACAUUUCCGUGGAUACCUGGAGGCUUGCCUCGAAGGCUUCGAGAGAAGAGGUAGUUGUGGGGAGGACAGAGAACCUGGCUUGCAACGAGCUGACCUGCUGUUUCCUGGCCAAGUGACUGCAGUCAGGGGCAGUAACUUCUGAGCCACUGUUCUUUCUGCACCACAGAGACUUUUGUGUGAAUCAAUAAGAUGUGAUGAUGUCAGGUUCCAACCAGGAGAUGUAUGUGUACCAAUGCACAGAAAAGGUCCUGGAGGAAACACAGCAAACCAUGGCAGCAGUUUCUAGUGGGGAACUAGAAGAGGUGGAUAAAAGAAAGAAGCUCUUAUUACUUUCUAUCUACUGGGUUGUGUUGGGAUGUUUUACAAAGAGAAUAUAUCUACUUCUUACAAGAGUGGAGAACAAAAAACUGGAGACAAUAAAAAGAUCUGUGGUUGCCAGGGUUUGGUGGGAGGGAAAAUGGAAUAAGGGGAUUGCAGAGUUUUAAGGCAAUGAAAAUGCUCUGUAUGUUACCAUAAUGGUGGGUCCAUAUC
Molecule: long non-coding RNA, 1622 nt
Organism: Bos taurus (domestic cattle)
Lineage: Eukaryota; Metazoa; Chordata; Mammalia; Artiodactyla; Bovidae
Source: Ensembl